Molecule: non-coding RNA, 96 nt
Organism: Podospora didyma
Lineage: Eukaryota; Fungi; Ascomycota; Sordariomycetes; Sordariales; Podosporaceae
Source: the annotation of a GenBank genome assembly
GGGCUAAUGGUCUAGUGGUAUGAUUUUCGCUUCGCAUCAUGGAUCGUCAGAUGUCGUCCUUGUGAAAGGUCCCCGGUUCAAUCCCGGGUUAGUCCA